CCUACGGGAGGCAGCAGUGGGGAAUAUUGGACAAUGGGGGAAACCCUGAUCCAGCGAUGCCGCGUGAGUGAAGAAGGCUUUAGGGUUGUAAAGCUCUUUUAUUGGGGAAGAAAGGACUCUAUCUAACAGGGAGAGGCGAUGACGGUACCUA
Molecule: ribosomal RNA, 151 nt
Filed under: uncultured Burkholderia sp.
Lineage: Bacteria; Pseudomonadati; Pseudomonadota; Betaproteobacteria; Burkholderiales; Burkholderiaceae
Description: partial 16S ribosomal RNA
Rfam family: Bacterial small subunit ribosomal RNA
Source: RNAcentral